AUUGGUUCCACUAGAUUAUUCUUCGAUCAUCGUCGAUCAAUCAUCUCAUUGCAUAAAUCUCACUAUAGGCCCUCAGGAUCCCAGCUAGGUCACAUGGAGCCAAGUCCCAUGCAUCGGUGGCUGGGAGAGGUUGGCAAUGGUCAGUGGUCAUAGGAGGUUCGUGAUUAGAAUCAGAUCAAAAUCCUCGAUGGUUGCAUCACUGCAUAACACAAAUCAUCCAAAGAUGAGUCCC
Molecule: long non-coding RNA, 232 nt
Filed under: Elaeis guineensis (African oil palm)
Lineage: Eukaryota; Viridiplantae; Streptophyta; Magnoliopsida; Arecales; Arecaceae
Description: long non-coding RNA (EGUI_LNC038290)
Source: RNAcentral